This 1127-nucleotide long non-coding RNA is filed under the name Lynx pardinus (Iberian lynx). The record is from RNAcentral. Lineage: Eukaryota; Metazoa; Chordata; Mammalia; Carnivora; Felidae.
CGGACGGGCUGGGCUUCAGGCAGAGUGGCGCCUCCCACCAACACCUAAUGGUGGUUUCUUAAUGUGCACGAGAGAAAUAAAUGAUCCUAGCAAACCCCCACUUGGAAGUGUGUGGCAAAAACACCUCCCGACCGAUCGUGAGCCCGUCUCCGGAACGGAUCCGAUGGGGUCAGACUGACGCUGUGGGGCGAGGGAGCUGGGCCCGAGCGCGUGGGAGGUUGUCUGCACUCCCCAGCCUGAUGGCGGGUGCUGCUGGAUGGAGAGCCACCUUUCCUCCGAGUUCCUCUGAGAGAUGCUGGUGAAGCAGACGACCUUUGCGCGGUUAGACCUGGCAGAUGUCUCCAAGCCGAUUUAGGACAACUUACCGUAGAAAACAAAGUAUGGUCUUUAAAUGUAGCCGAAAGCACACGCACACACGUCACAUGGCAACUGACUGUGAGAGGUAAAAUUUAGAAGGAUUUGGGUCGAUACCCAAAAUUGUGUUGCGGGUUCCUUACCUUGGGUGGCGAGGCGCCUGUGUACCUGUAUCUCAGGUGCAGUAUGGGACCUGCCUGGGGGAACCGGGGGACUGGAAGGGAAAGAAAGGAAGGGAUAGAGAGCCAGCCUCAGCGUGCUUUAUGCUGAUGAUGCAAAACCUUGCUUGUCAACGCUCCCCGGAUUUCCUGGUCUAAAGUGGAAACUGGAAAGAUGUUUUUAUUUACAAGCUCCGAGAAUGAGAAGUUGAGGAUGGCAGGCUCCUGAUACACCUCCCCAGCUGUGUAGGAUUGGCGCCGAUGCUGGAACCAGCGUUCUCGUGUUCCGAUACAGCCUCCACAAAGAUGAAGUUUUCAAGGUAUCCAUUUUAUUCGCAGGUGGAGAGCCGUACAGUACACGGAAAAGACUGCAGAGAGCAGAGGAUGCAUUGAAACGGGAACCACCCCCCGGGAUUUGGUGCCUACCAGAGUAUUUUGCACAGACGCGGUUAAUAAAUUAUUUUCGAUGGCAGUAAUGCGGCUGUCACCUCUCUCACAACAUUGAGACUUUCCCCAUAGGAAAGCUUUUGAGUUUCAGUUUGCUAGAACGUGCCCUAAUCCAGUAGUGCUGAAUUAUGGUUCCAAAAAUUGCAAGUGAAAAAAAUAUAUAUCACA